Molecule: ribosomal RNA, 500 nt
Filed under: uncultured bacterium
Lineage: Bacteria
Description: bacterial SSU rRNA
Rfam family: Bacterial small subunit ribosomal RNA
Source: RNAcentral
CUCAAAGGAAUUGACGGGGGCCCGCACAAGCGGUGGAGCAUGUGGUUCAAUUCGACGCAACGCGAAGAACCUUACCAGCCCUUGACAUGUCCAGGACCGGUCGCAGAGACGCGACCUUCUCUUCGGAGCUUGGAAUACAGGUGCUGCAUGGCUGUCGUCAGCUCGUGUCGUGAGAUGUUGGGUUAAGUCCCGCAACGAGCGCAACCCUCGUCCUUAGUUGCCAUCAUUAAGUUGGGCACUCUAAGGAGACUGCCGGUGAUAAGCCGCGAGGAAGGUGGGGAUGACGUCAAGUCCUCAUGGCCCUUACGGGCUGGGCUACACACGUGCUACAAUGGCGGUGACAAUGGGCAGCGAACCCGCAAGGGGGAGCUAAUCUCAAAAAGCCGUCUCAGUUCGGAUUGCACUCUGCAACUCGAGUGCAUGAAGUUGGAAUCGCUAGUAAUCGUGGAUCAGCAUGCCACGGUGAAUACGUUCCCGGGCCUUGUACACACCGCCCGUCA